AGUGUUGUAUUCAACUUUCGUCGUCAAGAAACAUGUACUUUAUCAUAUUCUUGAAAUAUCACAAAUUGCAGUAAAUUUUAGCAAUACAAUCCAGCGAUAGUGCAGUCUAAUUGCUUUAAAAGGAAAUCUGAAUCCAGGCCAAGAAAAUGGAAAAUUGGUAAUUGCCUUGUAUCACUGCCAACUAUAAGACACAGACAGUCUUGAGCAAAAAUAAUAAUAAAAGAAGAGACUUUUUAAGAAUGCGUUUGCGAGAGAACCAAGCAGGGACCGG
Patella vulgata (common limpet) is the source of this 271-nucleotide long non-coding RNA. RefSeq lists it as uncharacterized. The transcript has 3 exons. The record is from RefSeq and is a predicted model, not a curated record. Lineage: Eukaryota; Metazoa; Mollusca; Gastropoda; Patellidae.